GGCAAAUUAAAUAAACCACUCCAUUGCUAAAGAGGCUUGGGCAGGCUGGGGAAGUUAUGGCACUGGAGAAGUUGCACUAAACAUUUACUAUGAAUACUUGAAAAAAAUAUGUGUCGAUCUUCAAAAUCGAGAGGUCUCGCAUCUGGAGUCCUGAGAAGCUGCGCGGUGUGCAGAUAUAUUAUAAUUAUGAAAAACCUACUUUAACUACCAUAUGCUGGGAACAUUUUCCUCAAAUUAAAAAUCUGUUGCAUUGAUAUCUUAGCAGCCAGUGAAGGAAUAAGGCUGUUUUGCUUGCCAAAAGUCAAAAGGUUAUCAUUCAUUGGAAGAAUACCAGCAGUGUUGUGGAAUUAAAAUAUGAGAACAAAGCCUCCUCACCUUUUUUUGAGCAGGAAUAAUGAACAUCGUUUGCCAGAGAAUCCCCAAGUACACAGAAGCUGCAUAUCCUGUGUUUUAUUAAAUAGGUUAGUCUGAGAUAGUGAAUGAAUAAAGAUAUGGACCUCCAUCUUCCAUGCAUAUAUAUCAACACAUCUACUGAAUUCGGGAGAUUCUGUUUAAGAAUGUGACUAUGGACUUUAUCUCAAGUUUUGAAGUUCUCAUGGUGACCUCAUACACAUUAAGGAUGUCUGUGACACACUACUGGCAUGGAAAAGGCUCUUGAUUAAUUUCAGGUAUAGCCGAAAAACAUUUCUGUAAUUUGGGGAGCUCUUGGUAGAAUAUAGAUAAUAUUAACUAUAGACGGACCAAAGGUCUGAUUUAAUAUACAAUAUAUUUUCAAAUAGACAUAAUGUGCAGUCCUUUUACCAGUUGAUUCCAGAAGCCAUAUAAGUAUAUGAAAGACUUAAUAAAAUCAAAGUCUGAACUAAAGUCCAGGAAAAUGAGGCUUAGGCUCAGAGUCCAGAAAAACUAGGAAAACAAACACUUGCUGCUGAUUCUGUGGUUUUUUUUCUAUGAAUAAAAAGAACUUUAGACUCUGGGGAAAAUAAAUAAAUAUGGUCUUGCCUGAUGCCCAUGGCACGUUUAUUGUCAAAUUAAAACAAACAAUUUUAUCUUUGGCCUAUUCUAAAUGAAUUAGAAUUCAACUGAAAUAAUAGCUGGCUCUCCUAAAGCUCAUUAAUUAAAUGAAAGUGUAACUAAUUGUUAUAUGUUUGUUUCAUGUAGACUGAAAGGUAGAAUCACAACAGACAUAAUUAGAGUAAUUAUUACAGUCUGCAUUUAAUUCUGAACCCCCAGGGAAUAUUGAAUUUUCAUUCGUGGAAACCAUAUUCCUUCUAUAAGAAAUACAGCUUCUCCCACUUAACCGAUAUGUUUUUCAUAAUGCCAUCUCAAGUGAGAUCAUCCCAUUCUAUUCUUUGUCACAACAGUAUUGUUAUUCAGAAUGACAGCAGUCAAAAGAUAAAUGCUAACAUGCAUGUUCUAGUUUUGCAUUUCUCAUCUCAAAAUAUAUGUGGCAUAUAUGACAAAAUAUUCUAUGUCUGAACAUUUCUAAAUCUUCUGAAAGAAAAUUAAUAUGAAUUCACUUUGUCCUUAAUGUUCAGUGGUACUUA
This is a long non-coding RNA of Crotalus tigris (Tiger rattlesnake), 1544 nucleotides long. RefSeq lists it as uncharacterized. The record is from RefSeq and is a predicted model, not a curated record. NCBI's taxonomy places the organism in Eukaryota, Metazoa, Chordata, Lepidosauria, Squamata, Viperidae. The transcript is spliced from 3 exons.